UCCUGUUUUACUCAAUUUUAAGUUGACCUGGAUGCACACAGUUGUUCUUUUUUUCUUUUUUGUUAAACACCCACAUUUAUACAUUUUCAUUUUAUACUAUGUAUGGAAUCGUGUUUAUUUGUGGCUGUAUACUGAAGCUCUGACUGUCAUUAUCUUUAACAGAGGUUUUCUUAAAGACUUAUACAUGACAAUGUUGUAUAUUAUCAGUUCUAUAUCGAGCCAGCACUCUGAAAACAAUCCUAAUAAAGCUAGUCUAAUAAAUCAAGUAUACAAAAAACAAAGUGUACAAAAAAAAGAAAAAAAUGGGUUCUAAAAUUAAUCUUUAAAAAACAACAACAACAAAAACAUUACACAGAGCACAACUUCACAUUACACAUUGCAUUGUUGCUAUCAUGGUUUCUUUAUUUAUCUGUUGGCAGACAGCUUGAUAACCCAGAAACCUUUCUUCCCACCAUCAUGUGGGGAUUUAAAACUUUUCAGAGUUUAAAUUAAGAUGGAUGAAUUUCAUCUUUUCCACAGAAAAUGAUAAGAGUGCAAAAUGCAGGCCUGUUACCAGCACUUAUGUGGGAUAAAUAAAGAACACCAUGGAAUAUAUGCAUCAACUAAAACUAUUAAUGUUAAUAAUUAAUUUAUGCAAUGAAGUUAAUUAAUUACAUUAGCUGGACUUGGUGUAACCUGUAUGCUGUCUUUUUAAUCAUGGAUCUUUAGUCCGUUCCUUCCUAGACUGUCCUACAUAACAAAAACUUCAGCCCAAACUGUCCCUUAUUUGCGCAUUUCAGAGAACCCACAAACUUCCAGAAAUAUAGCUUUGACAUGGCUUCUUUCUUCUUUCAUAAACCCUCUCAUGCCAUGAGCCUCGGGCCUACCACCAAGCAUGUUCAUGUGAUUUUUGUCCCCUUUUUUUCUUUUCUUUUUUUUUUAAGUCACUGGGAUAUUUGGCGUUUAUUUUUGCAACAGUAAUUUUGGAGUUUGUCACACAGUGUCAUUUUAAGGUUUAGUCUGAUCGCCCCUCCAAUUAAGCUGUGUUUCAUCCGUCCCCUGCUCCGUUUGCACCAUGCUUGAACAUUUUCCCAAAGACAGUCUAUAUAUAAAAUAAUCUGCAUUUGAGCUGCAGUAACUAAGAGAUUAUUCGCUGCUUCUAUUUUUUUAAUUCUUGCAACGCACAUCAUUCAUUAAAAGAAAAAUGUAAUUAAGAUAUUGAUUCAGAAAUAAUAAUAAAUAAUCUUAAAAGGGAUAGAGAUGUAAGGUAGCGACCUUUUGUUGUUGGCCAUUUUAAAAAUGAAAGUAAACUUCCUUUUUUAUUUUCAAGAAAUUAUAAUAAUUGAACGCCUUUUUAAAAAAGAAUUAAGGCAGCAUAUUUUGACCACCAUAAGAGGCAUUUUUAGACAAAAAAAAAAUCAAACAUGUUUACAGAAGAAAGAAAAAAACCACUAAGACCAGAUCCAAUAAGUAGUGUUGUGAAACUGUUGACUGAUUUACGAGAUUAUCCACAAGCUUCCCAGUGAAGAACAAAAAAAAAGCGUAACGCAAUAAUGAAUAAAUUUACAGCUAAAACGGAAGCCAGUUCUAUUUAUCAAAUUUUUGCAGUGUGACAGUCUUCAGCUGCCAU
Long non-coding RNA from Astatotilapia calliptera (eastern happy), 1609 nucleotides. NCBI's taxonomy places the organism in Eukaryota, Metazoa, Chordata, Actinopteri, Cichliformes, Cichlidae. The record is from Ensembl.